This 492-nucleotide ribosomal RNA is filed under the name uncultured bacterium. RNAcentral describes it as "partial 16S ribosomal RNA". It matches the Rfam family "Bacterial small subunit ribosomal RNA", at positions 28 to 507 of the family's 1533-position model. The record is from RNAcentral.
GAUGAACGCUAGCUAUAGGCUUAACACAUGCAAGUCGAGGGGAAACGGCAUUGAGUGCUUGCACUCUUUGGACGUCGACCGGCGCACGGGUGAGUAACGCGUAUCCAACCUUCCCAUUACUGUGGGAUAACCUGCCGAAAGGCAGACUAAUACCGCAUAGUCUUCGAUGACGGCAUCAGAUUUGAAGUAAAGAUUUAUCGGUAAUGGAUGGGGAUGCGUCUGAUUAGCUUGUUGGCGGGGUAACGGCCCACCAAGGCUACGAUCAGUAGGGGUUCUGAGAGGAAGGUCCCCCACAUUGGAACUGAGACACGGUCCAAACUCCUACGGGAGGCAGCAGUGAGGAAUAUUGGUCAAUGGACGGAAGUCUGAACCAGCCAAGUAGCGUGCAGGAUGACGGCCCUAUGGGUUGUAAGCUGCUUUUGUAUGGGGAUAAAGUUAGGGACGUGUCCCUAUUUGCAGGUACCAUACGAAUAAGGACCGGCUAAUUCCGUG